GUGGAUUAGAUACCCUGGUAGUCCACGCCCUAAACGAUGUCAACUAGGUGUUGGGUGGGUAAAACCAUUUAGUACCGGAGCUAACGCGUGAAGUUGACCGCCUGGGGAGUACGGCCGCAAGGUUAAAACUCAAAGGAAUUGACGGGGACCCGCACAAGCGGUGGAUGAUGUGGAUUAAUUCGAUGCAACGCGAAAAACCUUACCUACCCUUGACAUGUUCAGAAGUCUUGAGAGAUUGAGAUGUGCCCGAAAGGGAACUGGAACACAGGUGCUGCAUGGCCGUCGACAACU
RNAcentral lists this ribosomal RNA (291 nucleotides) under uncultured bacterium. RNAcentral's name for it is "partial 16S ribosomal RNA". It matches the Rfam family "Bacterial small subunit ribosomal RNA", at positions 773 to 1060 of the family's 1533-position model. The record is from RNAcentral.